GGAUCAAAUCUUCAGAAUGUAGAUUCAACCUUCAUGUAGGCUUGAAACUACAGGCCCUAUACCUCGCAUGCACGCCAGGCAAUGCAGGAAAGUAGGAUGAAUCUUAGGAUUGAUGCACCUUCGCAAGGCCACCAAAAAAGAAAGAGAGGUGCUGGUGUGACCCUUCACACCAACAAAGGGGAUGCCCAAGAAGGGCCCACACCAAGAGGAAGAGGGGGCG
RNAcentral lists this long non-coding RNA (220 nucleotides) under Elaeis guineensis (African oil palm). RNAcentral describes it as "long non-coding RNA (EGUI_LNC065238)". The record is from RNAcentral. Lineage: Eukaryota; Viridiplantae; Streptophyta; Magnoliopsida; Arecales; Arecaceae.